AUACACACACACACACACACACACACACACACACAGACAGACAGUCAGUAUAUAUACAGUAUAUAUGUGUGUGUGUGUGUGUAU
Molecule: microRNA precursor, 84 nt
Filed under: Podarcis lilfordi (Lilford's wall lizard)
Lineage: Eukaryota; Metazoa; Chordata; Lepidosauria; Squamata; Lacertidae
Source: RNAcentral